This 376-nucleotide ribosomal RNA is filed under the name uncultured bacterium. RNAcentral describes it as "bacterial SSU rRNA". It matches the Rfam family "Bacterial small subunit ribosomal RNA", at positions 524 to 898 of the family's 1533-position model. The record is from RNAcentral.
UACGAAGGGUGCAAGCGUUGUUCGGAUUUAUUGGGCGUAAAGCGCGCGCAGGCGGGUAGGUAAGUCAGAUGUGAAAUCUCGGGGCUCAACCCCGAAACUGCGUCUGAAACUGCUUAUCUAGAAUUUUGGAGAGGGAGGGAGAAUAUCGCAUGUAGGGGUAAAAUCCGUAGAGAUGCGAUGGAAUAUCGGAGGCGAAGGCGCCCUCCUGGACAAGUAUUGACGCUGAGGCGCGAAAGCGUGGGGAGCAAACAGGAUUAGAUACCCUGGUAGUCCACGCUGUAAACGAUGAGAACUAGACAUUGCAGGAUUUGACUCUUGCAGUGUCGAAGCUAACGCAUUAAGUUCUCCGCCUGGGGAGUACGGUCGCAAGACUAAA